This 416-nucleotide long non-coding RNA is filed under the name Bos taurus (domestic cattle). RNAcentral's name for it is "long non-coding RNA NONBTAT001584". The record is from RNAcentral. Lineage: Eukaryota; Metazoa; Chordata; Mammalia; Artiodactyla; Bovidae.
UCCCAAGUCGCUUUUUUAUUCAGCUGUCAUAAACCACCACAUAAAUACAUAGAAUAAAUACAAAACCAGUAAGGAUUACUUUUAAGCCUUUGGUAUGGAGAGCUUUUCUCCUCUUCUUAUUUCCCCCUUUCCCUGUGGUUCUAAGACCCUUUCCUCAGGUUCACAUGAUGCCUUUGGACACCAGAGCAGCCCAGAAGUAAGCCUGGUGCUGGAGGGCCUUGAAUCCAUCAGUGGACAGGCUAGGUUCUUGCAGCCUGUCGGGGUGGGGGCUCCUUGCAAUGGGGGGUGGGAUAGUGGGGUGGAGACAGCCCCCUCCCCCACAACCGGACUCACACGUAGUCGUCCAGCCUGAUGUCUUUGGAUGCUAACGCAGUCCACAAGGAAACCUGGUGCAGGCGGGACUUGAAACCAUCAGU